AAAAAUGCCAGUUUUUUAUUCUGAUUGUUGUGGGCAAAAAUCCUUGAUCAUGCGGCAUGUUUUGUUAAAAAAUGUGAUGGAACAUGUGGGAUAUUUAUGCAAUGUUUUGCAACGAAAUUGCGGUUUGCUGAAGAA
Etheostoma cragini (Arkansas darter) is the source of this 135-nucleotide long non-coding RNA. RefSeq lists it as uncharacterized. The record is from RefSeq and is a predicted model, not a curated record. The transcript has 4 exons. Lineage: Eukaryota; Metazoa; Chordata; Actinopteri; Perciformes; Percidae.